GACGAACCGUGCGAACGUUGUUCGGAAUCACUGGGCUUAAAGGGUGCGUAGGCGGGCUCGAAAGUCAGGGGUGAAAGCCCACGGCUCAACCGUGGAAGUGCCUUUGAUACUGCGAGUCUAGAGGGAGGUAGGGGCGUGCGGAACUUCCGGUGGAGCGGUGAAAUGCGUAGAUAUCGGAAGGAACACCGGUGGCGAAAGCGGCGCGCUGGACCUCAACUGACGCUGAGGCACGAAAGCCAGGGGAGCAAACGGG
This 253-nucleotide ribosomal RNA is filed under the name uncultured bacterium. Its description in RNAcentral is "partial 16S ribosomal RNA". It matches the Rfam family "Bacterial small subunit ribosomal RNA", at positions 524 to 776 of the family's 1533-position model. The record is from RNAcentral.